This 465-nucleotide ribosomal RNA is filed under the name Vreelandella stevensii. Its description in RNAcentral is "partial 16S ribosomal RNA". It matches the Rfam family "Bacterial small subunit ribosomal RNA", at positions 338 to 795 of the family's 1533-position model. The record is from RNAcentral. Lineage: Bacteria; Pseudomonadati; Pseudomonadota; Gammaproteobacteria; Oceanospirillales; Halomonadaceae.
CCUACGGGAGGCUGCAGUGGGGAAUAUUGGACAAUGGGGGGAACCCUGAUCCAGCCAUGCCGCGUGUGUGAAGAAGGCCCUCGGGUUGUAAAGCACUUUCAGUGAGGAAGAACGCCUGGUGGUUAAUACCCAUCAGGAAAGACAUCACUCACAGAAGAAGCACCGGCUAACUCCGUGCCAGCAGCCGCGGUAAUACGGAGGGUGCGAGCGUUAAUCGGAAUUACUGGGCGUAAAGCGCGCGUAGGUGGCUUGAUAAGCCGGUUGUGAAAGCCCCGGGCUCAACCUGGGAACGGCAUCCGGAACUGUCAAGCUAGAGUGCAGGAGAGGAAGGUAGAAUUCCCGGUGUAGCGGUGAAAUGCGUAGAGAUCUGGAGGAAUACCAGUGGCGAAGGCGGCCUUCUGGACUGACACUGACACUGAGGUGCGAAAGCGUGGGUAGCAAACAGGAUUAGAUACCCGAGUAGUC